RNAcentral lists this ribosomal RNA (492 nucleotides) under uncultured bacterium. RNAcentral's name for it is "partial 16S ribosomal RNA". It matches the Rfam family "Bacterial small subunit ribosomal RNA", at positions 29 to 507 of the family's 1533-position model. The record is from RNAcentral.
AGUGAACGCUGGCGGUAGGCCUAACACAUGCAAGUCGAACGGCAGCACAGUAAGAGCUUGCUCUUACGGGUGGCGAGUGGCGGACGGGUGAGGAAUACAUCGGAAUCUACUUUUUCGUGGGGGAUAACGUAGGGAAACUUACGCUAAUACCGCAUACGACCUACGGGGGAAAGCAGGGAAUCUUCGGACCUUUCGCGAUUGAAUGAGCCGAUGUCGGAUUAGCUAGUUGGCGGGGUAAAGGCCCACCAAGGCGACGAUCCGUAGCUGGUCUGAGAGGAUGAUCAGCCACACUGGAACUGAGACACGGUCCAGACUCCUACGGGAGGCAGCAGUGGGGAAUAUUGGACAAUGGGCGCAAGCCUGAUCCAGCCAUACCGCGUGGGUGAAGAAGGCCUUCGGGUUGUAAAGCCCUUUUGUUGGGAAAGAAAAGCAGCAGGUUAAUACCCCGCUGUUCUGACGGUACCCAAAGAAUAAGCACCGGCUAACUUCGUG